GUCCUUUUGUGGCUCAUAAGCACGAUGAGCAGGUUUUCAUGCUAUUGUGUGAGACGUGCCUCCCUCAACAUUGUUAGAAUGUUGUCACAUUACAUGUCUGAUA
Small nucleolar RNA from Otolemur garnettii (small-eared galago), 103 nucleotides. The record is from Ensembl. NCBI's taxonomy places the organism in Eukaryota, Metazoa, Chordata, Mammalia, Primates, Galagidae.